AGCAGCCGCGGUAAUUCCAGCUCCAAUAGCGUAUAUUAAAGUUGUUGCAGUUAAAAAGCUCGUAGUUGAAUUUCGGGGUCAGUAGGCUGGUCGUGCCACAGGUACGCACUGGUCUCACUGAUUCCUCCUUCCUGAUGAACCGUAAUGCCACUAAUUUGGUGUUGCGGGGAGACUGGACUGUUACUUUGAAAAAAUUAGAGUGUUUAAAGCAGGCUAACGCUUGAAUACAUUAGCAUGGAAUAAUGAAAUAGGACGUUCGGUCUUAUUUUGUUGGUUUCUAAGAUUGACGUAAUGAUUAAUAGGGAUAGUUGGGGGCAUUAGUAUUCAAUUGUCAGAGGUGAAAUUCUUGGAUUUAUUGAAGACUAACUACUGCGAAAGCAUUUGCCAAGGAUGUUUUCAUUAAUCAAGAACGAAAGUUAGGGGAUCGAAGACGAUCAGAUACCGUCGUAGUCUUAACCAUAAACUAUGCCGACUAGGGAUCGGAUGAUGUUAAUUUUUUAAUGACUCA
This 508-nucleotide ribosomal RNA is filed under the name uncultured Glomus. RNAcentral's name for it is "SSU rRNA". It matches the Rfam family "Eukaryotic small subunit ribosomal RNA", at positions 569 to 1078 of the family's 1831-position model. The record is from RNAcentral. Lineage: Eukaryota; Fungi; Glomeromycota; Glomeromycetes; Glomerales; Glomeraceae.